GAACGCAUCUUGCGCUCCUUGGUAUUCUGAGGAGCAUGCCUGUUCGAGCGUCAUUUCACCACUCAAGCCUGGCUUGGUGUUGGGCGACGUCCCCUUUGGGGACGCGCCUCGAAACGCUCGGCGGCGUGGCACCGGCUUUAAGCGUAGCAGAAUCUUUCGCUUUGGAAGUCGGGGCCCCGUCUGCCGGAAGACCUACUCGCAAGGUUGACCUCGGAUCAGGCAGGGAUACCCGCUGAACUUAAG
This 243-nucleotide unclassified non-coding RNA is filed under the name uncultured Cenococcum. RNAcentral's name for it is "sequence contains 5.8S rRNA gene". The record is from RNAcentral. Lineage: Eukaryota; Fungi; Ascomycota; Dothideomycetes; Gloniales; Gloniaceae.